AUUGAACGCUGGCGGCAGGCUUAACACAUGCAAGUCGAGCGGGGUGAUGGUGCUUGCACUAUCACUUAGCGGCGGACGGGCGAGUAAUGCUUAGGAAUCUGCCUAUUAGUGGGGGACAACAUCUCGAAAGGGAUGCUAAUACCGCAUACGUCCUACGGGAGAAAGCAGGGGAUCACUUGUGACCUUGCGCUAAUAGAUGAGCCUAAGUCGGAUUAGCUAGUUGGUGGGGUAAAGGCCUACCAAGGCGACGAUCUGUAGCGGGUCUGAGAGGACGAUCCGCCACACUGGGACGGAGACACGGCCCAGACUCCUACGGGAGGCAGCAGUGGGGAAUAUUGGACAAUGGGGGGAACCCUGAUCCAGCCAUGCCGCGUGUGUGAAGAAGGCCUUAUGGUUGUAAAGCACUUUAAGCGAGGAGGAGGCUCUUUUGGUUAAUACCCAAGAUGAGUGGACGUUACUCGCAGAAUAAGCACCGGCUAACUCUGUGCCAGCCGCCGCAAUAA
RNAcentral lists this ribosomal RNA (503 nucleotides) under uncultured bacterium. Its description in RNAcentral is "partial 16S ribosomal RNA". It matches the Rfam family "Bacterial small subunit ribosomal RNA", at positions 30 to 523 of the family's 1533-position model. The record is from RNAcentral.